UGAAUUGCGAUAAGUAAUGUGACUUGCAUUCAUUUGUGAAUCAUCGAAUCUUUGAACGCACCUUGCACUUGAAGAGUCAAUUUUCAAGUAUACCUGUUUGAGUAUCAUACACAUUAAUCUAAGAAUUUUAAUUUCAAUAGUUUUAAUUCAUAGGAUUUGAGAGGACAGUGCUAAGGCGUUGUCUCUUUAAACGUAUGAAGGGAUGAUGUUGGAUUUUCAAAGAAUCUGAAAUGAGGAGGUUUGCGCAAGCAAAAGUCACAUACUAGGACCUUUGAAAGCCCAACAACUAAUCACACCUUGAAACAUUUUAGCUAGCUAGCAAUCAACUCCGUAAGGAGUUGCCAGCAAAGCAAAGCAAAAAAGAACAAAUGUGAUCUCAAAUCAGGCAAGAUUACCCGCU
RNAcentral lists this unclassified non-coding RNA (400 nucleotides) under uncultured fungus. RNAcentral describes it as "sequence contains ITS1". The stretch from base 1 to 107 matches the Rfam family "5.8S ribosomal RNA", at positions 49 to 154 of the family's 154-position model. The record is from RNAcentral. Lineage: Eukaryota; Fungi.